This 30-nucleotide non-coding RNA is filed under the name Mus musculus (house mouse). The record is from RNAcentral. Lineage: Eukaryota; Metazoa; Chordata; Mammalia; Rodentia; Muridae.
UCACCAUGUAGCCCAUGGCUGGCCUCGAAC